CGCGGUAUACUGACCGUGCGAAGGUAGCAUAAUAAUUAGUCUUUUAAUUGAAGACUGGAAUGAAUGGUCGGACAAGGAGAAAACUGUCUCAUAUAUAAAAAUUGAAGUUAACUUUUAAGUGAAAAGGCUUAAAUAAAUUUAAAGGACGACAAGACCCUAUAAAACUUUAUACAAUAAAAUUGACUUAUAAAUUAUAAGUAUAACAAAAGAAAAUUUGAAUUGUAUUUCGUUGGGGCGACGAAAGUAUAUAAGUAACUGCUUUUACAUCAAAACAAUAAUAUUUGAAAAAAAAUGACCCUCUAUAAAGAUUUAAAGAAAAAGUUACUUUAGGGAUAACAGCGUUAUUUUUUUUAAGAGUCCUUAUCGACAAAAAAGUUUGCGACCUCGAUGUUGAAUUAAAGUUCCAUUAUAAUGCAGCAAUUAUAAAGGUAGGUCUGUUCGAC
Molecule: ribosomal RNA, 443 nt
Filed under: Callianassa subterranea
Lineage: Eukaryota; Metazoa; Arthropoda; Malacostraca; Decapoda; Callianassidae
Description: partial 16S ribosomal RNA
Rfam family: Bacterial large subunit ribosomal RNA
Source: RNAcentral